UUAAGCGACUAAGCGUACACGGUGGAUGCCCUGGCAGUCAGAGGCGAUGAAGGACGUGCUAAUCUGCGAAAAGCGUCGGUAAGGUGAUAUGAACCGUUACAGCCGGCGAUGUCCGAAUGGGGAAACCCAGUGUGAUUCGUCACACUAUCGUUAACUGAAUACAUAGGUUAACGAGGCGAACCGGGGGAACUGAAACAUCUAAGUACCCCGAGGAAAAGAAAUCAACCGAGAUUCCCCCAGUAGCGGCGAGCGAACGGGGAGCAGCCCAGAGUCUGAAUCAGCUUGUGUGUUAGUGGAACGGUCUGGAAAGUCCGACGGUACAGGGUGAUAGUCCCGUACACCAAAAUGCACAGGCUGUGAACUCGAAGAGUAGGGCGGGACACGUGGUAUCCUGUCUGAAUAUGGGGGGACCAUCCUCCAAGGCUAAAUACUCCUGACUGACCGAUAGUGAACCAGUACCGUGAGGGAAAGGCGAAAAGAACCCCGGCGAGGGGAGUGAAAAAGAACCUGAAACCGUGUACGUACAAGCAGUGGGAGCACCUUCGGGUGUGACUGCGUACCUUUUGUAUAAUGGGUCAGCGACUUAUAUUCUGUAGCAAGGUUAACCGUAUAGGGGAGCCGCAGGGAAACCGAGUCUUAACUGGGCGUUAAGUUGCAGGGUAUAGACCCGAAACCCGGUGAUCUAGCCAUGGGCAGGUUGAAGGUUGGGUAACACUAACUGGAGGACCGAACCGACUAAUGUUGAAAAAUUAGCGGAUGACUUGUGGCUGGGGGUGAAAGGCCAAUCAAACCGGGAGAUAGCUGGUUCUCCCCGAAAGCUAUUUAGGUAGCGCCUCGUGAAUUCAUCUUCGGGGGUAGAGCACUGUUUCGGCUAGGGGGUCAUCCCGACUUACCAACCCGAUGCAAACUACGAAUACCGAAGAAUGUUAUCACGGGAGACACACGGCGGGUGCUAACGUCCGUCGUGAAGAGGGAAACAACCCAGACCGCCAGCUAAGGUCCCAAAGUCAUGGUUAAGUGGGAAACGAUGUGGGAAGGCACAGACAGCCAGGAUGUUGGCUUAGAAGCAGCCAUCAUUUAAAGAAAGCGUAAUAGCUCACUGGUCGAGUCGGCCUGCGCGGAAGAUGUAACGGGGCUAAACCAUGCACCGAAGCUGCGGCAGCGACACUAUGUGUUGUUGGGUAGGGGAGCGUUCUGUAAGCCUGCGAAGGUGACCUGUGAGGGUUGCUGGAGGUAUCAGAAGUGCGAAUGCUGACAUAAGUAACGAUAAAGCGGGUGAAAAGCCCGCUCGCCGGAAGACCAAGGGUUCCUGUCCAACGUUAAUCGGGGCAGGGUGAGUCGACCCCUAAGGCGAGGCCGAAAGGCGUAGUCGAUGGGAAACAGGUUAAUAUUCCUGUACUUGGUGUUACUGCGAAGGGGGGACGGAGAAGGCUAUGUUAGCCGGGCGACGGUUGUCCCGGUUUAAGCAUGUAGGCUGGUUGUCCAGGCAAAUCCGGAUAAUCAAGGCUGAGGUGUGAUGACGAGGCACUACGGUGCUGAAGUAACAAAUGCCCUGCUUCCAGGAAAAGCCUCUAAGCAUCAGGUAACAUCAAAUCGUACCCCAAACCGACACAGGUGGUCAGGUAGAGAAUACCAAGGCGCUUGAGAGAACUCGGGUGAAGGAACUAGGCAAAAUGGUGCCGUAACUUCGGGAGAAGGCACGCUGGUGUGUAGGUGAAGUCCCUGCGGAUGGAGCUGAGACCAGUCGAAGAUACCAGCUGGCUGCAACUGUUUAUUAAAAACACAGCACUGUGCAAACACGAAAGUGGACGUAUACGGUGUGACGCCUGCCCGGUGCCGGAAGGUUAAUUGAUGGGGUUAUCCGUAAGGAGAAGCUCUUGAUCGAAGCCCCGGUAAACGGCGGCCGUAACUAUAACGGUCCUAAGGUAGCGAAAUUCCUUGUCGGGUAAGUUCCGACCUGCACGAAUGGCGUAAUGAUGGCCAGGCUGUCUCCACCCGAGACUCAGUGAAAUUGAACUCGCUGUGAAGAUGCAGUGUACCCGCGGCAAGACGGAAAGACCCCGUGAACCUUUACUAUAGCUUGACACUGAACAUUGAGCCUUGAUGUGUAGGAUAGGUGGGAGGCUUUGAAGCGUGGACGCCAGUCUGCGUGGAGCCAACCUUGAAAUACCACCCUUUAAUGUUUGAUGUUCUAACGUUGGCCCCUUACCGGGGUUGCGGACAGUGUCUGGUGGGUAGUUUGACUGGGGCGGUCUCCUCCCAAAGCGUAACGGAGGAGCACGAAGGUUAGCUAAUCCUGGUCGGACAUCAGGAGGUUAGUGCAAUGGCAUAAGCUAGCUUGACUGCGAGCGUGACGGCGCGAGCAGGUGCGAAAGCAGGUCAUAGUGAUCCGGUGGUUCUGAAUGGAAGGGCCAUCGCUCAACGGAUAAAAGGUACUCCGGGGAUAACAGGCUGAUACCGCCCAAGAGUUCAUAUCGACGGCGGUGUUUGGCACCUCGAUGUCGGCUCAUCACAUCCUGGGGCUGAAGUAGGUCCCAAGGGUAUGGCUGUUCGCCAUUUAAAGUGGUACGCGAGCUGGGUUUAGAACGUCGUGAGACAGUUCGGUCCCUAUCUGCCGUGGGCGCUGGAGAAUUGAGGGGGGCUGCUCCUAGUACGAGAGGACCGGAGUGGACGCAUCACUGGUGUUCGGGUUGUCAUGCCAAUGGCACUGCCCGGUAGCUAAAUGCGGAAGAGAUAAGUGCUGAAAGCAUCUAAGCACGAAACUUGCCCCGAGAUGAGUUCUCCCUGAGACUUUAAGUCUCCUGAAGGAACGUUAAAGACGAUGACGUUGAUAGGCCGGGUGUGUAAGCGCAGCGAUGCGUUGAGCUAACCGGUACUAAUGAACCGUGAGGCUUAACCUU
RNAcentral lists this ribosomal RNA (2900 nucleotides) under Klebsiella aerogenes. RNAcentral's name for it is "23S ribosomal RNA". It matches the Rfam family "Bacterial large subunit ribosomal RNA". The record is from RNAcentral. Lineage: Bacteria; Pseudomonadati; Pseudomonadota; Gammaproteobacteria; Enterobacterales; Enterobacteriaceae. RNAcentral also lists the same sequence under 2 other names.